Molecule: ribosomal RNA, 253 nt
Filed under: uncultured bacterium
Lineage: Bacteria
Description: partial 16S ribosomal RNA
Rfam family: Bacterial small subunit ribosomal RNA
Source: RNAcentral
UACAGAGGGUGCGAGCGUUGUUCGGAUUUACUGGGCGUAAAGGGCGCGCAGGCGGCGGACCAAGUCAGGCGUGAAAGCCCCGGGCUCAACCUGGGAACGGCGUCUGGGACUGGUAUGCUAGAGUUCGGGAGAGGAGCGUGGAAUUCCCAGUGUAGAGGUGAAAUUCGUAGAUAUUGGGAAGAACACCGGUGGCGAAGGCGGCGCUCUGGACCGAGACUGACGCUGAGGCGCGAAAGCGUGGGGAGCAAACAGG